AAACCAGCACCUCAAGUGGUCAGGAUGAUUAUUGGGCCUAAAGCAUCCGUAGCCGGCUCUGUAAGUUUUCGGUUAAAUCUGUACGCUUAACAUACAGGCUGCCGGGAAUACUGCAGAGCUAGGGAGUGGGAGAGGUAGACGGUACUCGGGAGGAAGUGGUAAAAUGCUUUGAUCUCUCGAUGACCACCUGUGGCGAAGGCGGUCUACCAGAACACGUCCGACGGUGAGGGAUGAAAGCUGGGGGAGCAAACCGGAUUAGAAACCCCAGUAGUCC
RNAcentral lists this ribosomal RNA (274 nucleotides) under uncultured bacterium. RNAcentral's name for it is "partial 16S ribosomal RNA". It matches the Rfam family "Archaeal small subunit ribosomal RNA", at positions 473 to 747 of the family's 1478-position model. The record is from RNAcentral.